Molecule: ribosomal RNA, 464 nt
Filed under: uncultured bacterium
Lineage: Bacteria
Description: bacterial SSU rRNA
Rfam family: Bacterial small subunit ribosomal RNA
Source: RNAcentral
CCUACGGGAGGCAGCAGUGGGGAAUUAUGGACAAUGGGCGAAAGCCUGAUCCAGCCAUACCGCGUGCGGGAAGAAGGCCUUCGGGUUGUAAACCGCUUUUGUCAGGGAAGAAAUCUUCUGGGCUAUUACCUCGGGAGGAUGACGGUACCUGAAGAAUAAGCACCGGCUAACUACGUGCCAGCAGCCGCGGUAAUACGUAGGGCGCAAGCGUUAAUCGGAAUUACUGGGCGUAAAGCGUGCGCACGCGGUUCCAUAAGACAGAUGUGAAAUCCCCGGGCUCAACCUGGGAACUGCAUUUGUGACUCUGGAGCUAGAGUACGGUAGAGGGGGAUGGAAUUCCGCGUGUAGCAGUGAAAUGCGUAGAUAUGCGGAGGAACACCUAUGGCGAAGGCAAUCCCCUGGGCCUGUACUGACGCUCAUGCACGAAAGCGUGGGGAGCAAACAGGAUAAGAUACCCUGGUAGU